GACGAACGCUGGCGGCGUGCUUAACACAUGCAAGUCGAACGGAAAGGCCCUGCUUUUGUGGGGUGCUCGAGUGGCGAACGGGUGAUUAACCCGUGAGUAACCUGCCCUUGACUUUGGGAUAACUUCAGGAAACUGGGGCUAAUACCGGAUCGGAGCUCCUGCUGCAUGGUGGGGGUUGGAUAGUUGCGGCGGUUGGGGAUAGACUCGCGGCUUAUCAGCUUGUUGGUGGGGUAGUGGCUUCCCAAGGCCUUGACGGGUUGCCGGCCUGAGAGGGUGACCGGCGACAAUAGGACUGAGAUACGGCCCAGACUGCUACUGGAGGCAGCAGUGGGGAAUAUUGCACAAUGGGCGGAAGCCUAAGGCAGCAACGCCGCGUUCGGGAUGACGGCCUGCGGGGUGUAAACCGCUUUCGCCUGUGACGAAGCGUGAGUGACGGUAAUGGGUAAAGAAGCACCGGCUAACUACGUG
This 468-nucleotide ribosomal RNA is filed under the name uncultured bacterium. Its description in RNAcentral is "partial 16S ribosomal RNA". It matches the Rfam family "Bacterial small subunit ribosomal RNA", at positions 28 to 507 of the family's 1533-position model. The record is from RNAcentral.